CGGUAAAGCCGCGAAUGGCUCGGUAUAACAGCCACCGUUUAUUAGAUCUUAGUUAUCUACUUGGAUAACUGUGGCAAUUCUAGAGCUAAUACAUGCACGAAAGCUCGGACCUUAGGGAAAGAGCGCAUUUAUUAGACCAAAACCAAUCGGGCUUCGGCUUGUGUUUUGGUGACUCUGAAUAACUAAGUUGAUCGCACAGUCUUAGUACUGGCGACGUAUCUUUCAAAUGUCUGCCUUAUCAACUUUCGAUGGUAGGUUAUACGCCUACCAUGGUUAUAACGGGUAACGGAGAAUAAGGGUUCGACUCCGGAGAGGGAGCCUGAGAAAUGGCUACCACAUCCAAGGAAGGCAGCAGGCGCGCAAAUUACCCAAUCCCAGAAUGGGGAGGUAGUGACGAAAAAUAACGAGACAGUCCACUAUGUGGCCUGUCAUCGGAAUGGGUACGAUUUAAAAACUCUAACGAGGAUCUAUUAGAGGGCAAGUCUGGUGCCAGCAGCCGCGGUAAUUCCAGCUCUAAUAGCGUAUAUUAAAGUUGUUGUGGUUAAAACGCCCGUAGUUGGAUCUUCGGUCUUGAAGCUCGGUAGCUCGUAAGGGUUUAACUGAGUCUUCUGGCCUAAAUUUUAGUAUUCCGCUGAUGCUCUUUACUGAGUGUCUUUGGUUGCUAGAACGUUUACUUUGAAAAAAUUAGAGUGCUAAAAGCAGGCUUUACGCUUGAAUAAAGUGCAUGGAAUAAUGGAAUAGGACUUUAGUUUUAUUUUGUUGGUUUUCGAAAUUAAAGUAAUGAUUAAGAGGAACAGACGGGGGCAUUCGUAUUGUUGCGUUAGAGGUGAAAUUCUUGGAUCGCAGCAAGACGAACAACUGC
Molecule: ribosomal RNA, 862 nt
Filed under: Parahadronchus siroii
Lineage: Eukaryota; Metazoa; Nematoda; Enoplea; Mononchida; Iotonchidae
Description: SSU rRNA
Rfam family: Eukaryotic small subunit ribosomal RNA
Source: RNAcentral